Chinchilla lanigera (long-tailed chinchilla) is the source of this 376-nucleotide long non-coding RNA. RefSeq lists it as uncharacterized. The record is from RefSeq and is a predicted model, not a curated record. The transcript has 3 exons. Lineage: Eukaryota; Metazoa; Chordata; Mammalia; Rodentia; Chinchillidae.
CAACGAUCGUCACACAUGGAUUUUGGAACCAUGCUGUUCUGCUAGAAUUUCCUGUCUCCAGUGUUUGUGAAGGAUUGUGAUCCUGUCUCUGAUCGUUCACCAUCCCCUGCAUCCGGCCUGCCUCUAGCAUCUCCAGCACUCUCUCUGGCUCCUCACUUAGCAAGACUGGACUUCCUACUGCAUUGUUACCAAGUCCCAUCUUCCCACAGCCAAGAAAGAGCUUCAGGAUUCCAUCUGCUGCUCCUUUGCUCUGUCCCAUCUGCGCAAGGAGACUGUGUCUCAGAGUUGCUGAUCACAGCCCUACUGCUGCUGAUAGGACCCCUGUACACACUUGACAAUUAUUGAAGACCAUAAAGAGCUUUUAAGUGGGUUAUAC